AAUCAAGGUCCAUUUGGUCGAAUCAAAGAUAUGGACUUGACCAUCUACAACUAUUGUAUUAGAGAAAUUCUGAUUAAUCUAAUUCAACAUUCGAUUAGACUUAAUCAAUUUUUUUAUAUGGUUAAUUAAUUUUUUGAUUCUAACCAUAGGUCUAAUCCAAUUAAAAGGAUCUGAUUUGAACUAACCUAUGCUCACAUGUUUUAUAUAAUGUCAUU
Molecule: long non-coding RNA, 215 nt
Filed under: Elaeis guineensis (African oil palm)
Lineage: Eukaryota; Viridiplantae; Streptophyta; Magnoliopsida; Arecales; Arecaceae
Description: long non-coding RNA (EGUI_LNC072053)
Source: RNAcentral